GAUCCUGCUGCCCUGGCUGCAGCUCAAAGGAAGAGCUCCACGCAAAUGGGAAGGAAGAAGGGAGUGGUGAAUUCGGGAAGAGCUUUGUUCCACCCAUGCAGGCAAUUGGCACAGAUGGGUCUACAGGGGGUUAACCAAAGGCCCAUGAAGAAACCUGCCAGCUCUGUUCAUCAUAGCCCCGAAGGAAAUUAAAUGCCUUGUACCAUAUGGUGCACAGCAUGGGGGUGGCUCUGGGGCAGCAUCCAUCCCAGUGCGUGGGGCAGGUGCAAGCCGGGGGCUUCCAACCCCAGCAAUAUCCACUUUCUGCCCAGUAUAAAGCACGGUGAUGGGGAAGCAGGGGGAAGGCUGACACAUGUGCAGCCUAACCCACUGGCAGAGCAGUGGGGAGGCAGAACCAAUGGCUGCUUCUCAUGCUCAAUGAGUCCGUCCACCUCCCCCCCGCAUCGAGUCCUUAAGUUGCUGCUUUUAACUGUCUCCGUGUUCAAAGCAAAUGUGAUGCUCAGCGGGAACAGAAGGCAGCUCCUGCUGGCAGGUGGAAGGCAUGGACAGCAUGGAUUGAGAUCCAGGCAGGGCCGGCUGCUGAGAGAGCAGGGGGAAUAUGGAAAUCCGGCUCCGUCGAAAUGAUUCAUCCCCUUCCCACCCCUCCCAUACAGUCCCCGCCGUUCUCUCCCUCCCGCUGGGUGCCGUCGUGUCUCUGUCUGUGUGUUGGUGUCCCGGUGCUACUCGUGGGGCAUUGCGAUUUUGGCUGCUGUCGGGCGCUGAGCUGGGAUCUCCCCGGUCCCAUUGGGUGCUCCAGGUGAUGCCCCAGUUCACUUUCGCUUGCUUCUGUGGGCUGCAUGGCUUCUGCAAGAUGAAGAGGAAGAAGGAGGAAACCUGCACAGAGCAGGAGACGGCGGUGUGAGCAGCAGGGACAGGAGUGGGACAUCAGAGCUGCUGGGGGGCAUUGGCUGUCCCCUCCCCUGUCACCUCUGCAGGGAUCCCUGUGCUGUGGAGACAUCUGCCUGGCCAGGAGGGAGCUGAAGCAUGAGAAUGUCCAAACUUGGAGGCACCAGUCGGCGUUGCAGACAUUAUUGGGGUGCUACAGCCAUCCUGCCACAUGCACUGAGCCCUCUGCACCCCAACAGCAGGGGACAUAGUGGUGGUGGUAUUUGUGCAGGGCAUCUCAGCAAGAGCUGGUUCAUUAUUGACACAAAGGCCAACAGUCCCCAGCUCAAGUCUUUAGGGGUUCUCUGCAGGGACAUUUUUGGCACAACUGUGUCUUCCAGAGCAGAAAUCCUUGAACUCUUCCACCUGCUGUUUCCCUUCUCUAUAUGGAGAAUCCAAUCAUGGGGGGCUGAAAGUGAUACCCACGGGUGCCAGGUAGGAAAUGCUCACCCUGAGGGCUGCUCCUGCUCCCACUGUCUUCACCUGGCACUGUGUGGCUGUUCCUGAGGUCCCCUGGGUCCCCAUUUCCCCUCCACUCUCUCUGUGCAUCCUUCCUACCUAUGGUUAAAGCCAUACAGGAGCUCCCCAUAUUCUGUGCCUUUCGGGGGGUGUCCCAUAGAUGUCCUCCCCAGUCAAGGGGGGGGUUCCCACAGAUGUGGGGACAUUGCUGGGGUCUCAGUGUUGUGCUCACAUCCCUGACCCCAUUUGCACCCAAACUUUAAGAUCUCCUUUCAGGCACUGAAGCCUUGGUGCUGCCAUGACCAGGAAUUGAGAAAAGCAGGAGGGAUGACCCAUAGGGAAGGGCAAAUACUUGGACAGCAAGUCUCUGGAGCAGGGGCCAUAGACUAGAGCAGCCUGACACCCCCUUGGAGCUCUGAAGGAGGAGGGUGAGCACACUUGGAGAGCAAUUCCAACCUCCCCAUUGUUAACCAGUUCCACCUUCCCAGUGCUCUCUGACUGCAUUUGCACAUGACAAACAGAGCUGUAGCCACCAGUGACAGCUCUCCUUUGGAGAUAUGUUGGCUCAGGCAACACCCAGAUCUAAUACAGCCGGUAAUUUAUUUUCUCAUCUGAAAGAUUUAGGACAAAAAGCAGCCAGAAGUGCCAAGAACAGAAGGUGCAGCUGAGGAGCUCUAAAUCCUCUCUGCUCUAUGCCUGUGGUCUGGGCUGCGGUGGGAAGCAGCGGAUGGAUGUGGGCUAUGGGAUGGCAGCAAUGCCUGGUCCUUGUGCACCUACCCCAUGGGGGUAUUUUGCUUCUCCCUUCUCUGAGCUCAGGUGAUGUGAACUGGCUGGUGCCCUGCUGGGUGUUUCCCUGCUGUUUGGGCAGCAUAUUGGCCAGGUUUCCCUGUCCUUCAUCACUGUGGAGCUCAGCUGAUUUCAGCACAGAUCAGUGGGAAAUGCUGUGGUUAAUGCAGGCUGUAAUGUGUCCUCUGGGAGCUUUGAGGCUGCAGCAGCCUUUUACUUUACAGUGCACACAGAGGCACCCAGGGAAGCUGAAGCCACCGAGCUUAAUGCUGAUGCACCCACGUUUGGGCUCAGCUGUUCGUGCCCCACCUGGGGGCACACAAUUGGUUUCCCCUAGUGAAGAUGUGGGGUGAUAACCCCACUCAGGGCUGUUGUAGCAGCAGGGUGAGAUACAGAGAGAUGAUGGGCAGCUUUGCUCAGUCAGGCUUUACAGAGGCUCAGAUAUUGCUGUGGAUUGAGGAUGGGGGAGGAGGGGGGAAGAUGGCCCAGUUCAUUAGUGCAUAACCCUCCCUGCUAAACCUCUUUGACUGCAGAUCCAUCACAGUUUGGCAGCAAAGGAUGUGCAGCUAACAGCUGCUCCGAGGCUCUGUGUCAAGCUGGAUGCACAGAGAGCAGCCCUGCAAAAGUGUUUGUGUAUGGAGGGGGUGCUAUGGGGGCUCCUGGGUGCUAAGAGAUGAGCUGAGGGCUCUGCUGGAAACACUGCACUCAUGCUAUGCACUUACUGCAUAUGAUGCACGCCCAUGCACACGGUGCACACACUAUGCACACACUACUCAUGCCAUGCACACCACGGUUGCACACUGGCAGCUCUGUGCUUGCUCAGGCUGUCCCUGUAUCUCCAGUCCUAUCUCCUACAAUGAAUGUAGGAUGUAGAAGCAAGACAGGCAGAUGCUCACCCGCACCCAUUACAUGUGCAUGUGAAAACACAAUAAAUUAACCAGGUGCAGCCUGAAUGCUCAAAAACCCGAGCUACAGUUAUUUUUCAAGUGAACUUUCCACCUCCCUGCAUGGAUGGAGCUCUCAGAGCAAAACAAUAUGUUUUCCACCAUGGCUCCGAGCAAAAUGGUUUGCUCCUGCAUUGACCUCUAUUGUGCUCAUAAACGGCUCGUGGUGCUUUUUGAUUCCCCCAUCAUCACGCCUUGACCUCCAGAUUGAUGCUGAAGGUCCUUUCAGCUGCAUAUUGUUUCCCACCUCUCUCUGUAGCCAACCUGCCAGGUUGCUGCACACCUCCCAAAGCAAAGUUGUGGGGCUUUUUCUUUCUCCCCUCCUCUUUAUUUUUCCCUCCCCACUGGCAGCGUUUUAACAAGGCUGGGAUGCUUCUAAGACUGUGAGGGCUGGGAGCUGACAGCUCUUGUCAGUGGAGAAACGCUUUCCCUGCCUCUCUUUCUCUCUCUCCCCCACAUUUUGCACAACCCCAGGCCUUUUUAUAAGCUGGGAUUUUGCUUCUUGUUCAGGAUUUCCUCUUGCUCUCCCAAGUGACAGACACACACACACGCUGCUUUUGCUUCUCCCUUCCAAUAAUGCCUGCACCACAAUAGCUACAUCCUACCCACAUUGGAGGCAGUGCACACUCAGGGUGUCCCUCCAAUGCUUCCCAAGCACUUUCUUUCCCAUCUGAUCCUGAAGCUGAGGCUGCCAAAUCCCCCAUGCAUUGGCUGCUGAGUGUUGAGCAGCUCCCAGUCACCUUCAUGCAAAGGGUGUGAAGUGCAAGGUGUAAAUAGUGCUUUCCAUUGCACAUUGCCUCUUGUGCACCACUGGGCUCUGUGCACAUUGCAUGACAUCCAUGCUGUGGCUUUGCAGGCUUAUUCCUUUUUAUUCUUUUCACUGUUGUUCCUUCAGAAGAGAAGAGCAGCACUCCUGAAAAAUGCAUUUCUUCCCACCAGCAAUAAUCCUCCUUUAAUCCUAUUACACCAAGGAAAGCAUCCAAGAGGGGGUGGGUGCAGGAGGAGGGUCCCCAUUGCACUCAGACAUUGGGGAUGGACGGACCAUAGCUCAGCCCCUUCCAAUGAACCCAAACAGUGCUUCCAUGGCACCUCCUGGUGCAGAGAGGUGUAAAAGCCGCAGCUUCAAGUCUUGUAACACAUUCUUAAAGGUUUUAUGAGAGAGGGGGGAAAAGAGUAGAGAGAAAACCCCAUUCCUGAGUGCAUCUUUGUGGUGUUUUAUGUCAGAUCCUAUACAAUUCCAUGACUCCCACCCCCUAAUAAACCUGCACUGAUCGCUGCAGUUACUGCACUCACAUGGAUGCACAGAGCUCUGUGGUGUCUAUGGAGGAUCAAAGCAUUCAACCUCUUUUUAUUGUCCUUCCCUUUCAUCCCACUGCCUGGAUUUCAUCACGAAGGGACCUACCCAGACUUGUUCCUCAGGAGUCUCCCAGCCUCAGUAGCCAUAGAAACCAGCUAUUUUUAGUCUGUUUUCGUGAUGCCACUCAAUGACUUUUCUCGACUUUGGGGAGACAGGAGACCAGGUCAGCCCUGUGAAUGGCAAAUGCAAAGCUGUGCAUCCCUUUGAGAAGAUAAACGUGGCAUUUGCAAACAAAAGCACCUAUCAACGCACAGAGCAGGUCCGUUCUUAAUGUAUUUCCUAUCUGGACAAAUUAUUUAUGCACAUUUCUAGAGUAUGGAUUUUAUCAACCUUUGGAGAUCAGGGUUUUUGCUAUAUGACAAACCUUGUACUUCCCAGAGCUGGUUUUCAGCCCUCUUCAUAUAAAUGAACAGAGUUUUGGAA
Non-coding RNA from Coturnix japonica (Japanese quail), 4893 nucleotides. The record is from RefSeq and is a predicted model, not a curated record. Lineage: Eukaryota; Metazoa; Chordata; Aves; Galliformes; Phasianidae.